RNAcentral lists this ribosomal RNA (497 nucleotides) under uncultured bacterium. Its description in RNAcentral is "partial 16S ribosomal RNA". It matches the Rfam family "Bacterial small subunit ribosomal RNA", at positions 28 to 507 of the family's 1533-position model. The record is from RNAcentral.
GAUGAACGCUGGCGGCGUGCCUAAUACAUGCAAGUCGAGCGAACGGACGAGAAGCUUGCUUUUCUGAUGUUAGCGGCGGACGUGUGAGUAACACGUGGAUAACCUACCUAUAAGACUGGGAUAACUUCGGGAAACCGGAGCUAAUACCGGAUAAUAUUUUGAACCGCAUGGUUCAAAAGUGAAAGACGGUCUUGCUGUCACUUAUAGAUGGAUCCGCGCUGCAUUAGCUAGUUGGUAAGGUAACGGCUUACCAAGGCAACGAUGCAUAGCCGACCUGAGAGGGUGAUCGGCCACACUGGAACUGAGACACGGUCCAGACUCCUACGGGAGGCAGCAGUAGGGAAUCUUCCGCAAAGGGCGAAAGCCUGACGGAGCAACGCCGCGUGAGUGAUGAAGGUCUUCGGAUCGUAAAACUCUGUUAUUAGGGAAGAACAUAUGUGUAAGUAACUGUGCACAUCUUGACGGUACCUAAUCAGAAAGCCACGGCUAACUACGUG